Molecule: long non-coding RNA, 2783 nt
Organism: Pogoniulus pusillus (Red-fronted tinkerbird)
Lineage: Eukaryota; Metazoa; Chordata; Aves; Piciformes; Lybiidae
Exons: 7
Source: RefSeq, a predicted model, not a curated record
UGGAGACAGGUCCAGAAACGCAUCUUCGGCUGCCCUGAGGCCUCCCCUCAUACCUGCUUGGUUUAAAUGUGUGCCCAUGUAAAGACACCGGGGCCUCCAUUUGCAUCUGCACAUCAGAGGAGACAUAGAUUCGUUAUGAUAAUGUCUUCAUGCAUCAAGAGCUACAACUAUUUUUGAGAAGAAACUGGCUUUAAUUAGGAGCUUUUUAUUCCAAAAUAUGCAGACUGCAGCAUGUCUGUGAAUAACUAGCUGAGGUGCUGUACAUCCAGAUCUUUGCUUGGCUCACGAUGAAAUGACUAAUGAAGAACCUAUGGAAAAGAAGCCAUUUAUAAAGACCAGCCAUGGCAAGAAUGUUUUGAAAGAAAAUGUGGUAAAAAAAAACCCAAAACAAAUAAGAUACAGGUUUUUGAACACCGAUGGGUCAAAAAUUCUAGCAUUAACCUGCAAUUACACCAACAGCAUACUAUACUGGAGACACAGCCAAGAGUCCCAGGCAAAGCCCUGGCUGUGCAGAAGUACUGUACAGACAUGUAAGGUGGUUUUAAACUAGGUAGUUCAACUACCAUUAAUGAUUACUCUGUAUCAGUGUGGUUCAUUUGCCUUCCAUUUCUACUGUGAAGGAGGUGGAAGCUGAAGGGAACUAAUGGUUUUGCAUCACUUACCUGUUUCUUCCUCUCAGAAGGGAACUCAACAGCAGAUGCUGUGAAACUUCUCUGCCCAGCGUCACAGAACCUGGAAUGACUUGCUGAGGCAAAAACGGCUGCUUCAAAAUAGAUGUGCAAAGGUGCCUCCUUUGCUUUGAUUGCUAAGGACACAACAAAUUAAUCCUAAUUAGAAGCCUAAUUGGACAGUCCAAGAUGUAAUCAAUAUUAAACCAAAUGCUCUUAAUGGUGAUCUGUCAGUUUUCUUUUUAGAAGUUGCUGAAGUCGUAUCUUCAAAUUGUUCUUUCAAGUUGCUUUUUACAAAGAUAUUUCAGGUAGACUUCAAAUUAGCACCUACUGGAGUAUCUGUGACCUUCACUAGAAAUCAGUAGCCUUAUUAGUCAUCAGAAACCCAAAAUUAUUUGUGUGACAUCUAGUAAGAGAAAACUACAAGGUUGAAAAAUAUUAUUUAAAUGUUUUUUAAACUCCCAAGCCUCUCAUCUCAGCUAAAUCCCAGACUUGGUGUACUAUAUGUGUGAACUGGGGUGAGUUUAUACAUCAUUUGAGCACUUUAGCAACCUGACUGAAGUAGAACACUUAAUGAAUCAGGGGUCUGGACAGGUGUAUCUGUAAUCUGCCAGACCACAAAACAUGAGCAGCAGAAGCUACAAGUGUCAGUCUUUCUCUCAUCCUUCUGUCAUCUUCACUGUAUUUUUUCACUUGAAUAUCACAUUACAUAUGGUCAGAAUCUGAUAUUGUUUUCCAUCUUUGAAACUUGAUUUUUUUGUCAAGUGAAGAAGGAGGAAAGACAAGCAUAUUUGUCUGAGAAAUAGGUGAUGUCCUGUCCUAGGUUCAACUGUCAUUCUCUCUUCUAUAUGCACUUCCAAAUGAGGGAAAGCAUUUCAAAGCACAAGAGUGCUAACUCAGCUGCUCAGUGUCAGUACAGCAUAAAGUGGUGUUAACUGUUCUACAUGCAAGAACAUUCUUUAACUUCAGUGUUAACAUUUUCCAAAGUGUGUGGUGCAGGAGGCAGGAUGGCUGGCCUGAAAGACAUAGAGGCCUUUAAAAAUGUAUAGCAUUAGGACACAGAAUGAGGAAGAACAGGAACCAUAGCAGUGGUUCAAGAGGUUUGAUUUGGUGGCAGAUGCAAACUGCUCUAAUACUGUGCUUCAGUGCUGCAGGCAACUAUCCAAUCUGUCUGCAUUCCCCAGCACUGGGGCUGUUGUUUACCUGGCUUCACUACUUACCUCACAAAUUCUGACUGAGACAGCUGGGCAUCUGCUUCUGCAUGUGUGCUGAUCUGAAGAGUGGGACCUGUGUUACAGAUAAACAACUUUGUUGUAUUGCCUUUUUGAAGGACAGGUGGCAUUAGAGGCUCAUGGGGAUAGUUCCUGGUGGACUAUCAAUUAACACUGAUUUUCAGGGUUUUAGGCAGCUGAUUUUGCACAAAAAAGAGCAGAGAGGUACCCAACACUGUGCCCAAAGAUAGCAAGCUACAUACACUGCUGAAAGCUCGCCUUGAGGAGUAAUUUAUUUUCUGAGAGGCACACACAUUUGAUAAACCUAUGCCUUUGGUUAUGCCUGACAGCUGAACAUGUGAAAUCAUUUGGUAUCACCUAACCAUUUGCUUCUAGUCAUACUCUGCAUAUCUUAGGAUUUGUUUAUUGCUUAAAGUUAUGUUUCCCUAACUGUAAGUGUACCUCUUGAUUUGUCAAGUAGCUUGGCAGUUAAUACACUACUAUACUUAUGAGAGAUAUUGUCAUAAACAAAUAUUUACAAUAAAUCCUAUAUGCUGGUAUAUCAUGUUGCACAAAUAUUUAUUUGUUUAAAUUCUCUUCAAAAUUGGGACAGCAAUUGAAGAAAUGCAGCUGGCUAAAUAGCUAAAAUUUACAAAGCUGACAAUGGUACACACCAAAUAGCUACUGCAGUUUUGAUAGUGAAUAGUAAAGUCACUAAGGAAGAGAAACUGUGUGUCCUUUGCUAUUCAGCUAUCUAUUUGUCCAACUAUUGUGUGUAUAGCUAUGAAAUUAAGGAAACUUUAUUUCCACUUGGGUUGUUAAAAGCCUGGUGUAUGAAAGCCAGAGGUAUUUAUGGUAACAGUUACUGUAGCCUGUUAUAAUCCAGUAAAAUUGUUACAAAGUA